Molecule: ribosomal RNA, 534 nt
Filed under: Geopora cercocarpi
Lineage: Eukaryota; Fungi; Ascomycota; Pezizomycetes; Pezizales; Pyronemataceae
Description: eukaryotic LSU rRNA
Rfam family: Eukaryotic large subunit ribosomal RNA
Source: RNAcentral
GCUCAAAUUUGAAAUCGGUGUCUACCAAACGCAUCGAGUUGUAAUUUGGAGGGACAACUUCGGGCUGAACCACACCGUAAGUUCCUUGGAACAGGACGUCAUAGAGGGUGAGAAUCCCGUGUCUUGGUGUCGGGUCAAACCAUGUGAAGUGUCUCCGACGAGUCGAGUUGUUUGGGAAUGCAGCUCAAAAUGGGUGGUAAAUUUCAUCUAAAGCUAAAUAUUGGCGAGAGACCGAUAGCGCACAAGUAGAGUGAUCGAAAGAUGAAAAGCACUUUGAAAAGAGAGUCAAAAAGUACGUGAAAUUGUUGAAAGGGAAGCGCUUGCGACCAGACUCGAUCCUUGGUGAUCAGCCGGGCUCCGGUCCGGUGCCCUCGCCAUUGAUUGGGCCAGCAUCGGUUCCGACGGUGGGAUAAAAGGAGGAGGAAUGUGGCUCCCUUCGGGGAGUGUUAUAGCCACCUUCACAAUGCUGCCAGUUGGGACCGAGGACCGCGCUUCGGCUAGGAUGCUGGUGUAAUGGUCUUAAGCGACCCGUCU